RNAcentral lists this ribosomal RNA (253 nucleotides) under uncultured bacterium. Its description in RNAcentral is "partial 16S ribosomal RNA". It matches the Rfam family "Bacterial small subunit ribosomal RNA", at positions 524 to 776 of the family's 1533-position model. The record is from RNAcentral.
UACGAGGGGUGCAAGCGUUGCUCGGAAUUAUUGGGCGUAAAGGGUAGGUAGGUGGUCUCAUUUGUCUGGGGUGAAAUCCUUGAGCUUAACUCAAGAAGUGCCCCAGAAACGGUGAGACUAGAGUACUGGAGAGGGUCGUGGAAUUCCCGGUGUAGCGGUGAAAUGCGUAGAGAUCGGGAGGAACACCAGCGGCGAAGGCGGCGACCUGGACAGUAACUGACACUCAACUACGAAAGCGUGGGGAGCAAACAGG